Molecule: ribosomal RNA, 225 nt
Filed under: uncultured bacterium
Lineage: Bacteria
Description: partial 16S ribosomal RNA
Rfam family: Bacterial small subunit ribosomal RNA
Source: RNAcentral
UACGUAGGGGGCAAGCGUUGUCCGGAAUUAUUGGGCGUAAAGCGCGCGCAGGCGGUUCAUUAAGUUGGGUGUUUAAUCCCGGGGCUCAACCCCGGUUCGCAUCCGAAACUGGUGGACUUGAGUGUAAGAGAGGAAAGUGGAAUUCCACGUGUAGCGGUGGAAAUGCGUAGAGAUGUGGAGGAACACCAGUGGCGAAGGCGACUUCUGGCUUAUAACUGACGCUGA